Molecule: non-coding RNA, 3904 nt
Organism: Nelumbo nucifera (sacred lotus)
Lineage: Eukaryota; Viridiplantae; Streptophyta; Magnoliopsida; Proteales; Nelumbonaceae
Source: RefSeq, a predicted model, not a curated record
UUUGCAGCCCUUUCCUCUUCACAAACCUUGGCUUGAAUAUGGCGCAACGCCGAUAAAGCGCGAAGCUAUAAUCCCUCGCUUCCCCGCUCCCCAAUUCAUCCUCAAAUUCUAAUAAUUCUUUCUGCUGAAAGCUUGCUGGUGGCUACCAAAUCCUUAGAAGAUGUCGGGCGGAUUCUUCCGGGGCACUUCUGCCGAUCAAGACACUCGGUUCUCGAAUAAACAAGCGAAACUAUUGAAAACCCAGAAGUUCUCGCCUGAAUUGGAUCAUCUGGUGGACAUGACGAAGGUGAAGAUGGAUGUUAUUAGGCCUUGGAUUGCUAAUAGGGUGACCGAGCUUCUUGGAUUCGAGGAUGAAGUUCUAAUCAACUUCAUAUAUGGACUUCUUGAUGGAAAGGACGUGAAUGGGAAAGAGGUUCAGAUCCAGCUCACUGGGUUCAUGGAGAAAAAUACUGGAAAGUUCAUGAAGGAGCUUUGGACUCUUCUGCUCAGCGCCCAGAAAAAUGCGAGUGGUGUCCCUCAACAGUUCUUGGAUGCCAAGGAAGAGGAAACUAGGAAGAAAAAGGCUGAGGCAGAUCGGAUUACACAUGAAAUCCAGAAAAAGAAAGAAAAAGAGUUAAGAGAGCUGGAGCGAGAGAAGAUGAAGAAGAUGGACGGCGAGAUUGAUGUCUUGAGGACCACUAAUUCUGCAUCUGACCCAAUCUCAAGGCGUUCACAGUCAAGAGCAUCCAGUGUUCAUCCUGAUGAAGAAAAAGAAGCUGAUGGGAUAAAUGGGUCUAGGGGAAAUAACAGGGUCUCUAGAUCACCGCACUUAGUUGAUCACUCCCCUUCAUCUCAUCGAAGCACACAUUCCAGGUCUAUCAGUAGGUCAUUUUCCAAUUCAAGGAGCUACUCAGGUGAUGGACACAAAUCAAGAAGCAUAUCUGGAUCACCUCAACCACGAAGACGCUCUAAUUCUCCUGAAAGGGAGUAUCGAUCGCCACGAAGACGAUCUAUUUCUCCACAUCGCAGGCAUUCACCAAGAAGAUCUCGGUCUCCUUUAAGGCGGAGGUCACCUCAUUCACGACACAAAUCACCUUCUCUUGUGCGGCGUAGGCUCCCUUCUCCUUUGCGACGCAGAUCUCCAUCUAUUAUUCGGCGUAGGUCACCAUCUCCCGUUCGGCGUAGGUCACCAUCUCCCGUUCGACGUAGGUCACCAUCUCCUAUUCGACGUAGAUCACCAUCUCUUGUGAGGCGUCGAUCCCCACCUCCUUUGCGUCGAAGGUCUCCAUCACCUCCAAGGCAUAGGUCUCCUGUGAGACGGAGGCCCCCCAUUCGUAGGCGGUCACGAACACCUUCACGGCAUAGGUCUCCAUCUCCUCUUGGGCAGUCACUAUCUCCACCUCGGCGUCGGUCUCUAUCACCAGGGAGGCGGCGGUCACCUCUUCCUAGGUCCCCAAGAUAUAGAAGAAGAUCGCCUAGACAAAGAAACAGGAGUGGUAGUCCUUAUAGAAGUCACAGUCCUGCAUACCGGAGCCGAAGGAGCUUGAGUAGGGAUCGUGAUCUCCGUAGUAAUGGAGUAGACAACAGAAGAUACCGUUAUGAUGCCUCUGAAAGGAAAAUGUCUCCUGUGCGUAAGACCCCUGAGAGAGAGGAGGUUGAUCGGUCUAUUCAUGCACGCAAGGAGCCAGUCUCUGUUUCUCGCCGACCACCAAUUUCUUUGAGGUCACCACAACGGGAUCCAGAUGAUCAAAGAAAGGCCCGCCAAAAGAUGCCCACUAUUUCACCAUCACCAGAAAUGUCUCGAAGUCCAUCAGUAAAUUCACCACGUGAACGGAGAAUGAGUCCUAGUGAAGAUAGUCUGUCUGAGAGCYCUGUAAGGCAAACAAGGGAACGAUUAUACCAUCGUGACAGUCCAUCUCCUGCUAGGCAACCAAGAAAACAUGUUUCACGUCAUGACAACUCAGUAACAAGUGAGGAAGAGGAAACUAGUCAUGCCAGGGAUGGUGGUGAUAAUAGAACUGAUUCUUCACGGAAAAGAGCUAAGCAUUCACCGCCAAUUGAUAGUCGGAAAAGAUCUCCUUCAAGGAACUUACGGCAGGAAAGGUGCUCUCUUGAAAAAUUAGAUCACCGUGGGUCUGGUGAAGAUUGGAGUCAUCUGAAUGACACAUUAUUAAGGAAGAAAGACGGGGAAAAAAAGAGUGAGAAAGCUUCAGCAAGGACUGAUCCUCCUCGAAGUCCUACUAAACAAAAAUCACCAAUGCUGGAAGAAAUUGAAUACGGGCCAGGGAGACCAGAGGGGGAAAGCUAUUCAUUGGAUCGUGUUAGGGAUGAAAAAAGGGAUUCUCCAAUUGAAGAAUUACAAAGAUCACACCCUAGAGAUGGCCAAAAAUCUGAUGAAAAGAAGCAUUCUCGUUCAAGCCACUCUGAAGGCACAGAUCGGGUUCAUAAAAUGGAAGCUGUUAACAAAUCAAUGAAAAAGGUUGAUAGGAAAAACCGGGCCAUUGCUACCGGUUCUGAAUCUGAGGAAAAUGAUAAGUACAGGUUGGAAUACAUGGAGAAGAGAAAACAUAAGAGAAUGGAUAGACAUGAAAUGAAUUCGGAAGAUGAUGAGUGUCAUGAUUCUGAAAUUGACGAAAGGAAGGAAGCAAAAAGAAGAAGGAAAGAAGAAAAGAGAUUACGUAAAGAAGAGAAACGCCGACGACGUGAAGAACGGCACCGUAGAAAGGAAGAAAAGCGUGCAGCCAAGCUGAAAGCCAAGUCAAUGGAUACUGUGACUCCGCCUUCAGAUUUCGAGAAAAACCGAAAUGAUGGCAAUGAUUCAGAUGACGAGGCUGACUUGAGGAGGGAAUCUCAUCCAUGUGGCGCUGAUGACACAGAGUCUGAGCAGAAAAAGCUUGAAAUUGAGCUGCGAAAGAAGGCUCUUGAAUCACUAAGAGCAAAGAAGGGCAUCAAUAACUAAAUAUGUUUUUGUUGUUUUGGAUACAUUGAACUAUUUCUUCUUUUCUGUUGAAGAGUAACUUUUAGCGUUUUAGCAAUCUUAUGUUUUGAUAAAGUGGGAAUGUUAUUGUUAUAUAGCAUAGUUGUUUUAAUGUAGUCUGUGUUUACUGCUGGCAGCUGAACUGGAUAAAUGAGGAUUUCCUGAGCUAUUCUCUUGAUGUGCAACUUUGUGCAGACCUUGCUGCUAGAUUUUCUGAUGAGAAUACUGUCAACUAGAUGACUUGGUUGAGCAGGACCUUGUGCAGAACCACUUAUUGAACAUCAACUCAGUUUGACAGUUGUUCCGGGGACUUUGUUUUUAAUAUUCACCAAGGUGAUAUAGGCUCCUGAACCAUCCUGUCUUGAUGUUGAUGUCAGCUGUUAAGUUUCUCUGGACGGCAUCUCCAUGUAUGUGUAAGCAAUAACAAAUUAUGCAAAUGCUUAUGCACUUUCACUCUUUACUUGCAUUUUGGAGUUUGAUGAUAUUGUUUUAUGAAUUGGUUGUUUUGGUUAGUAAUAUAUGGGAUUCUGAUAAGCAUUUUCUCCUCAGAAUCCAAGCUGGGGAAGCUAUAUGAUGUAAUAUUUGUUGCAUCAUUGAAAUUUCAGUCGGGGAAUGUGUUUUUUGGUGAUUCAUGUUUUUUUCUUUCCAUUGUAAUUUUUUCCUCUUCAAAUAUUUUAUAUCAUAAUUUAUAUUCUAUUAGAAGCAUGACAUGGUACCUGGGGCAAUAAAUUAUUAGAGUGGUUGCUUGGCCGAAGGGUUGUCUUCCCCCCAACAGGUUUGCUUUGUGAUGAUGGCAUGUGGUAGGAUAAAGUUUUGAACCCAAACAUGGCCAUAUUUUUGGCACCUUGGGGAAACAUUUAGGGAUGUCUUACAUGCCUCAUCAGCAUUGGAAUUUGAACGGUUACAUGUCUAACAUGUAUGAGUAAACUUAAAGGGAGUACAGUUUCA